AGCGAGGUGGGGAAGCCAGGCCUAUCCCGGCGGGCUCAUAACCCGCAGAGCGGACGUUCAAAUCGUCCCCUCGCUACCA
This 79-nucleotide transfer RNA is filed under the name Nitrososphaeria archaeon. RNAcentral describes it as "tRNA-Met". The record is from RNAcentral. Lineage: Archaea; Thermoproteati; Nitrososphaerota; Nitrososphaeria.